AACGAACGCUGGCGGCGCGCUUAACACAUGCAAGUCGAACGAGAAGGCGUAGCAAUACGCUUGUAAAGUGGCGAACGGGUGAGGAAUACAUGGGGUAACCUACCCUCGAGUGGGGGAUAACCCGCCGAAAGGCGGGCUAAUACCGGCGUACGCUUCCGAUCUUGCGGGAUCGGAAGGAAAGCUGUCCCAAGGGGAUGGCGCUCAAGGAUGGGCUCAUGUCCCUAUCAGCUUGUUGGUAGGGUAACGGCCACCAAGGCAUCGACGGGUAGCUGGUCUGAGAGGACGAUCAGCCACACUGGCACUGCGACACGGGCCAGACU
Molecule: ribosomal RNA, 320 nt
Filed under: uncultured bacterium
Lineage: Bacteria
Description: bacterial SSU rRNA
Rfam family: Bacterial small subunit ribosomal RNA
Source: RNAcentral